Carassius auratus (goldfish) is the source of this 665-nucleotide long non-coding RNA. RefSeq lists it as uncharacterized. The transcript is spliced from 3 exons. The record is from RefSeq and is a predicted model, not a curated record. Lineage: Eukaryota; Metazoa; Chordata; Actinopteri; Cypriniformes; Cyprinidae.
UGAACACUUGGAUGAGGAUGAGGAUGGAGCCAACACAAAGAAAAGAGCAGUCUGUAAACUCUUUUUUUACUCUACCAGUUGUUUCGUUGUUGUUAAGGAUUGUACCGAUAUGUAUGUUAUUUAGAUCAGGUAUUUUUUCCAUUAUGAUCUUUUAUACUUUCUUUAAAAGUGAACUUAAUGGAAUUAAUAUAUGUGCUUUGGUGGGAUUAAGAAUCAAUGGUCACUAUUGUGAUGUUUUAUUGAGAUCACAGUGUAAAUCAUAUAUUCAGAGAUGUAGUUGAAAAGGAUGUUUUUCAGAAACAGAUGGAUCAGAAAGUUUCAUGGGACAGCACACAGUCAGUCGUAUGUCUGGAAUUCCGCUAGUUCUGAACUAUUCGUGAUUGGAAAAAGUUCACUACUAGCAGAACUCGAAUAUACAACUGAAUUCUCAACGAAAGCUCAAGAAUAGUUUGGUCCUACAUGGCCUGCCAUUGGACAACUGCUGUAUUCACGUGAUCUACUUAUUGGAUGAAGGAUGAAGAUUAAGACCAUCCUUGGAUGUGUUACUCCAUUACUCAUAACCGAAGCACUACGGACUUGAUUACAAUCAGACAUAUAAGACACUUCCCUGUUUUCAUGUUUAGUUGUGGUAAAAUGGUGUGCUUACUACAUCAAUCUGUUUAAAA